GAUGGAACAAUGUAGGCAAGGGAAGUCGGAAAAAUGGAUGCGUAACUUCGGGUAAAGAAUUGUUUAUGACGGUUUUGGCAUGGGUCCCAGUCCCGAACCCACUGGCUAUCGGUGGACUGCUUGAGCUGAUCCCGCAGAAAUAGCGGGUCGCCGUGUGCUGGCAAGGGGACGGACUGGGAACGGUUCCUUCGGGGGCCUUCCUUGGGAGUCAAACAGCCAACUCAGAACUGGUACUGACAAGGGGAAUAUGACUAUUUAAUUAAAACAAAGCAUUGCGAUGGUCCCAACGGAUGUUUACGCAAUGUGAUUUUUGUCCAGUGCUGUAAAUGUCAAAGUGAAGAAAUUCAACCAUCCGGGGGUAAAUGGCCGGAGUAACUAUGACUCUUUUAAGGUAGCCAAAUGCCUCGUCAUCUAAUUAGUGAUGCGCAUGAAUGUAUUAACAAGAUUCCCACUAUCCCUCUCUAAUAUCCAGUGAAACCACAGCCAAGGGAACAGGCUUGGCAGAAUCAGCGGGGAAAGAAGACCCUAUUGAGCUUGAGUCUAGUCCGACUUUGUGAAAUGACUUGAGAGGUGUAGCAUAAGUGGGAGUCGAAAGGCGAAAGUGAAAUAUCACUACUUUUAAUGUUAUUUUACUUAUUUUGUGAAUCGGAAGCGGGGGACUACCCCUCUUUUUGGACCCAAGGCUCGCUUUGCGGGACGAUCCGGGGGGAAGACAUUGUCAGGUGGGGAGUUUGGCUAGGGCGGCACAUCUGUUAAAAGAUAAUGCAGGUGUCCUAAGAUGAGCUCAACGAGAAUAGAAAAAUUGUGUGGAUCAGAAAGAUAAAAGCUCGUUUGAUUUUGAAUUCUAGUACGAAUACGAACCGUGAAAGCGUGGCCUAACGAUCCUUUAGACCUUCAGAAUUCUAAGCUGGGGAGUUAGAAAAGUUACUACAAGGAUAACUAGCUUGUGGCAGCCAAGCUAUAUAGCGAAGUUUAUUUUUUAUCCUUCGAUGUCGUCUCUUCCUGUCAUUGUGAAGCAGAGUUCACCAAGUGUUGGAUUGUUCACCCACCAAUAAGGAACGUGAGCUGGAUUUAGACCAUCGUGAGACAGGUUAGUUUUACCCUAGUGAUGACAGUGUCGCAAUAGUAAUUAAACCUAGUAAGAGAGAAAUCGUUGAUUCACAUAAUUGGUCAUCACGGUUGGUUGAAAACCCAGUGGCGCGAAGCUACCAUGUGCUGGAUUAUGACUGAACACCUCUAAGUCAGAAUCCAGGUAAGAAGCAAUGCAUAUGCCCGCCAUCCGCUUGCUGACCCGCAGUAGGGGCCUUCGGCCCCCAAGGGAACGUUUUGUUAGCUAAGUCACCACGACGGAAGCGUCGCGGUGACCGCCUUGAAGUACAAUUUCCAUCGAGCGGUGGGUAUAAUCCUUUGCAGAAGACAUAAAUACGCGAUAGGUAUUGUAAGUGGAAGAGUGGCCUUGCUGCCACGAUCCACUGAAAUACAACCCUUUUUCACUCCGAUUC
Molecule: non-coding RNA, 1502 nt
Filed under: Solanum tuberosum (potato)
Lineage: Eukaryota; Viridiplantae; Streptophyta; Magnoliopsida; Solanales; Solanaceae
Description: Eukaryotic large subunit ribosomal RNA
Rfam family: Eukaryotic large subunit ribosomal RNA
Source: Rfam by way of RNAcentral